ACUGCACACAGAUGGAACUAGGGCCAGUUCCUGGCUGAGGAACUCUAAGGUGUGGGGUGUGUGCCGUUGUGACCUGGCAGGAUUUUUUGCUGAUGCCAUGAGAGUCUUUGUGGCCUGGUGAAUGGAGUUUGAUAGUCGGUUCUUGCCACUGUU
RNAcentral lists this small nucleolar RNA (153 nucleotides) under Apaloderma vittatum (bar-tailed trogon). The record is from RNAcentral. Lineage: Eukaryota; Metazoa; Chordata; Aves; Trogoniformes; Trogonidae.